AUUGAACGCUGGCGGCAGGCUUAACACAUGCAAGUCGAACGAGUGGCGGACGGGUGAGUAAUGCUUGGGAAUCUAGCUAAUGGAGGGGGAUAACUACGGGACACUGUAGCUAAUACCGCGUACCAUAGGAUGAGCCCAAGUGGGAUUAGGUAGUUGGUGUGGUAAAGGCUCACCAGGCCGACGAUCGCUAGCUGGUCUGAGAGGAUGACCAGCCACACGGGGACUGGGCCACGGCCCAGACUCCGACGGGAGGCAGCAGUGGUGCAUAGUGGGCAAUGGGGGCAACCUGACGCAGCCAUGCCGCGUGAAUGAAGAAGGCCUUCGGGUUGUAAGGUUCUUUAGGUAGGGAAGCGUGAACUACAGAAGAAGCACCGGCUAACUCCGUGCCAGCAGCCGCGGUAAUUC
This 405-nucleotide ribosomal RNA is filed under the name uncultured bacterium. Its description in RNAcentral is "partial 16S ribosomal RNA". It matches the Rfam family "Bacterial small subunit ribosomal RNA", at positions 30 to 526 of the family's 1533-position model. The record is from RNAcentral.